GACGAACGCUGGCGGCGUGCUUAACACAUGCAAGUCGUGCGGUAAGGCCCUUUCGGGGGUACACGAGCGGCGAACGGGUGGGUAACACGUGAGCAACCUGCCCUUCACUUUGGGAUAACUGCCGGAAACGGUGGCGAAUACCGGAUAUGACUUCCCCACGCAUGUGGGGUGGUGGAAAGCCUUCGGGGGGUGGGGGGUGGGCUCGCGGGCUAUCAGCUUGUUGGUGGGGUGAUGGCCUACCAAGGCUUCGACGGGUAGCCGGCCUGAGAGGGGGACCGGCCACACUGGGACUGAGACACGGCCCAGACUCCUACGGGAGGCAGCAGUGGGGAAUAUUGGACAAUGGGCGAAAGCCUGAUCCAGCAACGCCGCGUGAGGGAUGACGGCCUUCGGGUUGUAAACCUCUUUCGCCUGCGACGAAGCGAGAGUGACGGUAGCAGGUAAAGAAGCACCGGCCAACUACGUG
Molecule: ribosomal RNA, 466 nt
Filed under: uncultured bacterium
Lineage: Bacteria
Description: partial 16S ribosomal RNA
Rfam family: Bacterial small subunit ribosomal RNA
Source: RNAcentral